GAGCCAACAAGAGGAAGGUACCAUAAAAUAUUCAUUAGAUGUGUAAAUCGUGUUGUUAUAAGCAAUUCUUUUUUUUUUGGGUGAUUCAGGUUUCGUCUGUGUGGUCUUUCAGUUCCCACGCAUUUCAGCUAUGCAAUCCUUUCAUGUUAAACAAUUUGGACUAUUCGGAAAUUAUUUUGCAAUGUUACUCAUAAAUGGUGUGUGCACGCAGGGGGUAUCUCAGGUACUUUGAGACACACUCUAACACAGGGCCAAACACCCAACCCUGUCUCUUAUUUAGUGUCUAUCCUGUGUUUGAGUUAGUUUGUUAAUUGAUUGAACAUAUAGAUCAUGAUAUUUGGCAAUAUGAUUGGUUACCUCUAUGUUUAAAAAAAAAAAAAAAUAUUCUGCAAUUUAAUGAAAAGUUGAACGUUUUUAAUAUCAAUAUUCUUUAUGAUUUUGUAUGUUAACAAUUUUUUCUAUUUAAAUGUUAACUUUUGCUACAAACAUACGAUUAGGUUUUUUGUUACAAAUAUACGAUUAGGUUUUUCGUUACAAAUAUGUGAUUCGUUUUUUUUGUUCCAAAUUUACGAUUAUUUUUUUUUUUUUUGUUACAUAAUUAAAUACUAGAGUGAUUCUUUCUUUCACCUGUUUCGGUUAUUCUUGUCCAAAUUCCAACUGAUUAUUUCCAAUCAGCUCCUCCCUACUCUUUAGCCCUUGUAAUCCUGGUUUAAACAUGCGCAACAAAUCAGACUCAGUAGAAUGAGACUCUCCAGGUUAACCAAUCUAUUACCUGGAGUGGGCCAAUCUGAAGACUGAUAAUUUGUUGAAAUCUGCAAAAAUGAAAUAUAUGGAUCCUUAAAUCAUUUGUAUCUUUGUAAUUCUGGAUUGGUUGUCCAUGUAUAUAUAUAUAUAUUUUAAUGAGAUUUCUAUACCAUGCAUUAAAAAAAACUAAUGUAUCAAUUCCAAAAUGCCUCUUUAGUGAAGCCUUGCCAAGUGUAGAAAGUUUAGCUAGUUACCAAACCUUUGUAAGCUACGUUGGAACAUCUUUUGUUCAAUGUUCUGCUGCCAACUUGGAUUUCCGUUAAUUGAGUUUGCCCUUGACACUAAUCUGCUUUUUAACUUUGAAAGUCACGGUUUAUAAAAGGAAGCAAAUUUAAGGGGGUUUUAUCAAAACACCUCAUUAAUGAGUUUACCUCUGCAGCUUCUAUGGCGAGGGAGCAAAAGUUUGUAAAGAAUCAAGCAUUAAAGGUCAGGCAUCUCCAGAGCACAUGGUCAAUGCAUCUGUUGUUAAUACCUAAAAUAGCCCAGACCUUUGUUCAGAGAAGCAACCUGGGAAAGGGGAAGGAAAUAAACAACCAUGUCAGGGAAAAAAGUUUUCCGAUAAAGAAUUAUAUACAUCUAGCUCUAAAGCUUCUUUAUUAUGCAAUUAUCAUACAGUUUCUAGGCAGCAGGGCUAUUAAAAGGCAAAGACUGGGACACAAAUGGAAGUGGCGCACAAAAACAUGCUUUCGUGCCUGAGGGUGAGGAACAAAAUUUCAUAUUUGUAAUGAUACAUAUAACAAUAAACAAGAAUAAUUGGUUGACUGCUAGAAUAUCUGAAAUUUUAAGAAAUAUUUCACUUUGGACUAAAAUUAUCAUCUUAUAUCUCGACUCACACUGUUUCUUUAUGUUGGCCAGCGCAUCUAAAGUUCUGACCUAAGACUUUUUAUACUCUGAAUUUUCUGCCAUUUUUUCCAUUAAAGGGACACGUCAAGCACCAUAACCACUACAUCCUAGUGCAGUGGUUAUAGUUCCAGGAGAGGCCUGGUACCAUCUUAAUGUUUACUAUGAGACUGUUAUGUCAUGGUUUGACCCUAACAUGAGUCCAGCUGGGUGCCAUGCUGAUUUUUAAGACAACAAGAACACAUUCAACAUUGGCAUUGGUUCUUCAGCUCAAGAAAAACUGUUAUGACCAAGGUAAAUGUCAAACGGUGCUAAAACAGUUUCGCCCUGGCAGCAUGACCACUACAGUGAUCUUCUUUUACUCCGAAUACUCUCUCUAGUUAUUCACAAAAUCUUGGGCUGGAGUGAAUUAAUCUGAAUAACAACAUUUAGGCAAAAUUAACUGACCUGGAAAUUUUCUGCAACUCAAAUAUAGUCAAAGCUUGGUUAUUGUGCCUAAAUGUAGAUUUCACUUCACCAAAAUUCAGUUUAGUCAGUAACCUUGUUAAACAAGCAAUUUCUCAAUACUCACCUGAUGAGGCAUCUAUAUCUCAGUGUUUCAGAACCAUACCUCAAUGUCUGUUCUUCUGUUGGUCUGCCGUCCAUGAAACCAAGGACAUAUUUCUUACUCUUUGAAGGCAUGUGGAUAACUGGGAAAAAUUUGUCUAAAGGAAUACUGUGGAGUAAUAAGUAGCAAAAUAAAUGAAAAUGGAACAAAUGACACCUUUUCUCCAGCUUCAGCCCUUUAUAGUCCCUGUCACUACACUAGAGCCCCUGUCACCCCGCUAUACCCACUAUCCUCCCACUACAGCCCCUAUUCACCCGCUGUGAUGCCACUACAGCACAUGUCAUCCAACUAUACCGACUAUCCACCCCACAACAGUCCUAUUCUCCCACCACUGCCCAAACUCUCACUACAGCUCUAUUCCACCACUAUACCUACUAUCUCCACUAAAUCCCUUUUACCCCCACUUUUGUCACUAACCACCCCUAAAGUCACUUUUCCUCCACUACAGCCCCAAAUGCAACACAACAAGCAGCCACCCCCAGACACACCACCAAUAAGCAGCAUUCCCACAAACAUACUCGCUCUUUUAACCCACUUAUCAUCCAACCGCUCACCUGGUCACAUUCACCAAAGGUAGGGAUGAGAUUUAAAGGUAGGGAUGAUGAGAUUUUCCUAAUAUUUCCUAUAUACUUCAUUUAAAAAAAUAUAUAUUUCCUUUCAAAACUUUAUGAAAGGAUUAUUAUAUAAAAGUGAAGUGACAGAUGUCCUUUAAGAUCGACAGGGUUAUAUAGAGAUGCCUGCAUCAAGUAUGUGGGACAUCCCAUGAUGGCACAAGGUCUUUAAGGACCAAAGUGUGAUGUUUGCCAAGAAUGCUCUUGGUCCUCAAGGGGUUAAAUGAUUGAUUUAUAAAAUGAUGAUAUGAAAUACAAUUCCAAUUAAUGAAACUGAGGCUGGAAAUCACCUAGGAUUAACACAUCAGACAGAAAUAUUUAAAAAAUGCUCUUAGCUAAGGGAAGUGCAUUGAGUUUUUGUGUUAUAGCGCUAUUUAAAUUAUGUGUCCUUCCUGUAUUCCUCCAGCCGAUCCUGGAUGGCUUUUGUUUGAAAUGAGAGAAGAGAUUAAGUCCUUGAACAUAAAUAGCCCAUGCUUACAUCCUUAAUUCUGAGAAUGAGCUCUAAUCUAGGGGGACGGGGAUAUUAAAUAAGUUUCUCGAGAGCCAUCAUUAACUUGCCAAAGGCUUAGUAUUAGCUUAUUAAAGUUGGAUACUUGAAUGCUAUUUCCUUAGUAUUUACUUGAAACCCAGAGGUGUCCACAUCCAUGAGAGACUGAGAUAAGCUGACCCUUUUGUUAUAAAAGUAUACAUUAAUCAAUGUUCCUAUUGGCAUGCUUUGUGCUAAUGUAUGGUGCCAAGCUUUUAAGUUGUGGCAAAUAAGUUCUAAUGAGUACGACUAUUUGUUGACAUUCAUCGACAAGUUCUGUCUUCAUACAGUUCUGCAUGUCUCAUUUUCCCCAUCCACGCUAUGUCCUAAAUAUAAAGUUUUCAAUAUUACUUUUUCUGGAAGAGAGGCAAAGACGUGAAGCAGAGCUACCUGUGAUCUAAUUCCCAGUGCAAAAAGGCACCAGUCUCACGUGUCUCUUGUGUUAGCAGUAUCUUCUACUUAAUAAACAAAUUAAUCUUUGGUAACAUCUGUCAGGGUCCCUUCUGUGGUGACCAGGGUUGUCCCCCAUGGUACUCACCUUUCACAUGAUGUUGCAUGUCCCCUUCAGCUCUCCUCUUCCUUUUCCAGCCGUUUUCACGCCAGCCGCAAUAGCUCGACCCCUUUUUAUGACACGGAAAGGGGUCGUCGACAUCAUGACGCUAAUGAUGUCACAUGCCGCCAAAACGUUCGGAUUAUGAUGUUUUGGGGGCGUGGCUACCAUCCUUACACGCCACAGUAUAAAAAGGAUUCAAAGGGCUAGGUUCAUUGCCCUGUUGUGGUUCAUUUUUUGUUCCCAAUAGUGCUAUUCAGUAUUCUGUAUCUCAGCUUUUGAUCUUGGGUUCGUUUGUGACUAUUCUACAUUCUAUACUCCUUGACCCGGCUUUGGCUCACUUGCUUAUGUUGAUUUCUGUACUCCUUGAUCUCGGCUUGAAUUUAACUAUCCCUUGUGUUUAUACGUUAGUCCGGCCAUUCUAAGGUCCGGUAUACGUUACCCCUUAUCUACAUUGUGCGUGUUGGAUCUCAAACCAUUCCUGACACCACCUGAGCAAAGAAGAAUAGUUCAGGACUAUCAGGUCAUCAAGUCACUACCUUGAGUGUAAUGUUGAAACUGUUGGUUUUUAAUUUGCAUUAAGAAUUGGGACCUAAUUGUUUAUAAAGAAGACAUGACAUUUAAAAAAAUAUAUCCUCCUGAGACCCAGCCCAUUAAACUGUGUCCUCUGUACAGGACAUUUAGUUCACAUGCAUCUCCUUUUUUUAUUUGAACUACUCUAUCAAUCUCUGGUGCACUGUAAAGAGGACAUCCUGGGCUUUCCAGUGAUAUGUCAUAUGAUGGGCUGGGAUGCUGAAAACGUCCUCUUCUUUUUCAUCAAAAAUGGAUGGCAUAUUGGAAGACAAUUUUUUUCUUCGGUUCUAUAUAAUAUAUAUAUAUAUAUAUAUAUAUAUAUAUAUAUAUAUAUAUAUGUUUGUAUGGGAAUAUUGAACAAGCCCCCUCCAACACUUUUAUAUUAUGAUUUUAAUAACUGGUAUGCAAACAGUGCAGCUAAAAAAUAUUCUUUAAUUGAUUUUCCAUAUGUUUAGUACACACUUUAUGCCCAAAAAAUGGUAUUUAGAGUUGGCUGUUUUUUUCAUGCAGAAGAAUAUCCAUCAAAAAUGCAAUCAUUAUUAUUAUUAUUAUUGCCAUUUAUAUAGCCCCAACAUAUUCUGUAGUGCUUUACAAUAUUAUGAGAGGGGGAUUUAACUAUAAAUAGGACAAUUACAAGAAUACUUACAGGAACGAUAGGUUGAAGAGGACCCUGCUCAAACAAGCUUACAGUCUAUAGGAGGUGGUGUAUAAAACACAAUAGGACCGGAAAUAGCAAUCAAAUAAGGUGAGAGUGAAGCAGAGCUGGAGGAGAGAGUAGUGCUGCCCUUUAGGAGAGAGCAAGAGACAGGUAUGUAAGGUAGAGGUUACUCUGGGAGGCCAUAAGCUUUCCUAAAGAGAUGGGUUUUAAGGCACUUCUUAAAGGAUUGAAGACUAGGGGAGAGUCUGAUGGCAGUAGGCAGGCUAUUCCAUAGGAAGGGAGCUGCCCGUAAGAAGUGCGAGUUGGCCGUACGGGUGCGAGCAGCGUUCAGGAGGUGGUCAAGGGCAGAGCGGAGAGACAGAGAAGGGACAUACCUAUGGAUCUGUGAAGAGAUAUAAGAGGGGCUAGAAUUGUUCAGUGCUUUAUAUGUAUGGGUUAGCACUUUGAAUUGACUCCUAUAGGAUACCAGGAAGCCAAUGUAAGGACUGACAGAAGGGUGAGGUGUGAGAGGUCAUGAUUUCAUCCGUGAGCUUUCUUCGUAGUUCUCCACAAAGUGCAGUAAUUACUUCCAAAAACACAGGGGCCAUUCGCUGAAUUUGUAGCAAAAAUUGAACAAAAGUAAUGGGAUCGCCUAGAACUUCAAGCUGUAAGAAAAGUGGAUUAGCAAGAACCCAUUUGUUAUACCACUGUGCCCAACCAGUGUUCCAUGGCUUAUAUUUCUCUUAGUCCUGCACUAGACAACCUUGCUGUUGAUUGCUUCAUUUGCCCAUUGAGAGCCCAUUUGAAAUACCCGUGUACCCAACCUUACACAGAGCGCCACAUUGCACAAUUCAUAUCAACAGCAUUAUACUGAAAGGAACUGAACAGCCUCUUGAGAAGGGUAGUGCGUCCUGUCAAGCAAUAUGUUACCAGCUCAAGAAACAAAUGAUUUCUUAAUAAAAGUGAUUUUUAAAAAAAUCUCUUUUUAAGUUGGCUAUUUAUUCAUUUUUUACAAGUGACAGGCCUUUAAAAAUGAUCUAUCAUUUUCCUUUUACCAACAAUGAAUAAAAAGGUGAUCAUGUAAAAUACUAUUAUCUUACCAGAUAAUUUACAAUUUACUACACAACACUGGAAUGCUUCGUACACACCACCAAAAACGCAGAGGUGCUGCUGGGAGGAGGCUGAGCUGGACCGCAGCCCAAAAUAGGGUCUUGAUAAGCUGUUCUAAUUUUAGCAACCAUUCUUGAGUCAAUGUAUGUGUAAAGGGCACGUUAAAUGUCCUUUUGCUACCUAGUAACACUUGAGUAAAAAUGUGAUUAUAAAUUGCUUUAGAGAAAUGUGAAGUCUUGCCAUUACAAUAUUGUUUUGAUAUAUUUUCCCUCAGGCUUCUGGAAUCAACGUGCUCUAAAAUGAAGCAGCCAUCUUGCUUUGUAGCAGCCAUCUUACUUUGCUAACACAUGGUUAUGAUAAAUAUAGGGCCUUUAUACUUCCUAAGUAUCCAUUUUUAGAUACAGUUAAUCUUUGAACCCAAAUCUCUUUUUCAUGCCGUGGUGUCCACGGUUGGUUAAUAAAUUUUGUUUUGCGUGAGAGCGUGACACAUUAAACUCAUAUACAUUUGUGCUUAAAAGCUCAUUAAUGUAUAAAUAGAAUUAGAUCUUACAUUCAAGAGUACAUUUAGAGUACUUAAAACAUAUAGGUAAACAUUAUUAAACAUGUGAGGUCUUACUUUUAUUGACCCAAGGAUUGUGCACACAGGUGGUUGCCAUUAGUUUAAGCUCAUUGUGAGUUUUCUGGUCACUGAUCCAGAUUUGCAAAUUAACAGUACACCAUCUGAUUGUAACACCUAGAAGCAUUAACUCCAAAUGGGAUAUUUUUUAUUUAAACCUCUCUACUUCCUUGUAGCUUUAAAUAACUUUGUUUUGAUUUGUAGCUAACAUAUCUAACACUAAACUAGCCAAACUGCAAUUAUAGAAAGGGAAUCCAAGGAAGCAGUGCUUUCACAAGUGUCUUCAACUCAAAUAAAGAUGGUACGAUAUGUAAAACAAGAGGAGAAAUAAAACGGAAUAUGGUGUAGUAUUUUCGAUGCUGGUGAUUAUAAAUAAAAGAAAGUAAAUACACUUAUGAUCUUCUAGAGCUUGAAAUCAGUCCCAGAUACGCACUUUUACAGUAAAAUCUCUGUCUGUGGAUAUACUGAUCUUGGUCUUGGUCUUAAGUGGAAAUGUUUCCUCAGGCCGGUCAGCAGCGUGUGGUGGUCAGCUUCAUAGAAGUGGUCUCUUUUAACAUUCUGCUUUGUCACAGUGAGAGUUCACCAGUGUAUACAAUGAAAAUAAAAAACAGAAGAUAGUGCUUGCUCUCUGUAAGGCUAAAAAAAAUAUAUAAAAUAAUAAAAGGAGGUAUACUCACCAACGGAGAGCACAGUAAAGUUAUGAUCAAUCCUACACAGUUUAGGUGGUAUCCCCAUCUAGGAAACCGAAGUAUGACUCCUACAGGUAAAAAUCUUCAGAGAUAAAAACAAGAACGUCCAAAUUUCGAUAAAAAAUUGUUUUAUUUAUAACCAAAAUAAUAAAACCAAAAAUAUAGUAUAAAACACUAACGCAUUUCACCUUCACUCAGGCUUUUUCAAAGUGUUGUGCAAUUAUAGCCUACACAUAAUUUGAUAGUAUUAUCAGGUAUUUUUAAUAUUGCAGUUGAAGUUGAUAUUUGAUUCAGAGACACCUUGAUUUCCAUGGAUGUUGUAUUGUAAGAUUAGCCAGCACUAAACGUCAAUCUAACAUCUCAUUUUUUUCCUUCUCCAUCCUGUCUGCAACUUCAGUUUAACUUUUCAAGCUAUAUUAGAUUUGAAACGGUUUACCAAAAUAAAACAAUGCUGAUAUAUGUGCUUAAUCCUACUGGUGAUGGAGAGAAAGGGUGAUAGGAAACGCAGGUAGAAAAAUUAAUUUCACUAAAAAAUAUAUUAAUUUUGCGUAUGAGACUAUUCAGUUAGUUGAUGCACUAAACUAACUACUAGUAUCUACUAAAACCCAACAACAGGUUAAAUUCCAUUAGGUUUUAGGCCUAAAUCAAAUCAAUAUAAUGAAUGCUAUUUAUCUGGUUAAUAAUAAUAUUUAAAGCUCAAGAUAUAUAUAUGGGAUCAAUGUGUCUUGUGGGGAAGAAGGUUUUGAAUAUUUUUUUUUAAAUUCAUUAUUUAGUAAAGUUUACACCCCUGAUGGUGAUUAUCUAUGAACUGUAAAAAUAACAUUGCAACAAGUUAGAGAAAGUGCAAAAGUACAAUAAUUGUCAUGUAAGAAAAAUCGUAAAAUUAGGAUCAAAAAAAGGAGGAAGUGACUGAUGCCAUCCAACCAAGAAACAUUGGGAGAGUUUGCGACAUUUGUGCCAUUAGGAGCUUAUUCUCUUUGAGUGAAAUCUCAGAUUAAGAUCAGUUUUUUUUAUUGUUUUUUUUUUUUUUUUUCCAUUUUAUAGUUUUGUUGAAGCAGUUAUUUUCUGAUUUGUUGUUACAACUGGAACCAUUGUUCGUUGAUUGAUAACCUUGGGAACUUUUUCGCUGCCCGUUUGUGCAUGACAGGUGAUUGUCAGACACAGAUCCUGAUAUUGUAAAGUGGCUUUCACAAUUCUUCUUGUUAGAAUGCCCACAAAAAUGGAAUUUCCUGCUCUUGCUGGCAUAGUGGAAACAAGACAAUUACAUAGAACUGCUCCCAAGGGGCCACGAUAGUAUGUCGAAAAGAAUUAUCCAACGUUUGUUACAUCCUCAAGGAGUCUAUUUUAGCCCUCUCAAAAGGGUAGAAUGGAGCGUAGUUCUCCAAAUCUAUUUCUGGUAUUUCAUACCCCCCCCUUCUGUUUCUUUCUGUCUCUCUCUUUUUUUCAAGGUCUCUAACAUGUUGACGGAAAUGGUUUCAGUGGACAGAGCGAGCUUGCUAUUCAUAGGACGAACUUCCGGAGCGGUGCUUGUUCACUUGACGUUGUAUGUUUCUUUAGCGUUCCAUACCAGAAAGAGAACUGGAACAUUUUAGAUCAAGUAGAUAAGAACAAGCCAUUCAUUUUUUAAGCUGUCUGGUUGACAGUUUGACCUCUGGAGUGAACAUCUAUGUAAAAGUGUUACUUCAACCUUUUAAAAAAAUUUUUGGUUUAGAAUGCCCUACAAUUGGACAUUACCAUUAGGUCCACCCCUCAAAUAAACCCUGUACAAUGAAGAUACACUUACCUGGAAUCCAGUUCCUUGUGAAACUUCCCAUACUGACAUCACCACUGACUGCUUGUGGUCCAACCACAUGCCUCUCAAAUAGAACCAUUUGUUUGAACUGUUCCUCCAGCUCAAAGUGUAUGCACAAGCUCACAGAAGUGACCUAAGGCAGUCCAGAACAAAGUUCUGGGCAUGCUAAAUCAUGUGUGCCAGAGAUGCAACUAGCCCUCAGCACAAAAGUGCAGAUGUCUCAGUAUGUGCAAUGUUAUUAGGAGAAACGCUGCACAUACAGACUCCUACCACCAUGACUACUUCUAAAUGCAGAGGUGAUCAUGUUGGUAUGAGUAACCCUUUAAUAGUAUUAUUUUUAUUAGAAUUUAUAUAAUGCCAGCAUAUUACAUAGAGCUUUAAAAUUUUGAUGUAUUGAUAUAACAGCAAAUAAGGUAAACAAAUGAGGCGAUCAAGAAGUUAAAGGGAAACUAUAGUCACCAAAACAACUUUAGCGCGAUGAAGCAGUUUUGAUAUAUAGAUGGUGCCCUUGCAGUCUCACUAUUCGAGUCUCUACCAUUUAUGAGUUAAAUCACUUUGUUUAUGCAGCCGUAGUUUCACCUCCCUGCAUUUGACUUAAACAGCCUCCCUAAACACUUCCUGUAAAUAGUCAUCUAAUGUUUACACUUCCUUUAUUGAAAAUCCAGUUUAAUUUAGAAUUUUUUUGUCUCCUGAUCUGUUGAUAGCCUUCUAGACCUUGCAGGAGCCACCAGUGCGUGAUUAAGGUUCAAUUUACAGAGCAAGAGAUAAAAACUUUUAAAUUAAGUUACAUUUGAUUGGAAGUUAAAUCAUUUUAUUUUCAUGCAGGCUGUGUCAGGGGAGGUGUGGCUAGAGCUGCAUAAACAGAAACAAAAUGGUUUAAAGGAUCACUAUAGGGUUAGGAACACAAACAUGUAUUCCUGACCCUAUAGUGUUAAAACCACCAUCUAGCCCCCCGGGGCCCCUCAUGCCUCCCUAAAUAUAGCAAAAUCUUACUGUAUUCAAGCCAGAAGCUGUAACUCUGCAUGCUGUUUACCUAAAAAAAACAAAAAACAAGCAGUCUGCUGACAUCAUCAGAAUUAGUAGCCUGAUCCAAUCACAAUGCUUCCCCAUAGGAUUGGCUAAGACUGACAAGGAGCAGAUCAGGGGCAGAGCCAGCAUGAUUCAAACACAGCCCUGGCCAAUCAGCAUCUCCUCAUAGAGAUUAAUUGAAUCAAUGAAUGAAAAUACAUUUAAAAAAAAAGAUAUAUUAAUUCUGUAUCCUCCCCCUCCCUACCUCUUACCUUUGGUGAAGGAGGGGGGGGGGGGACACAGCCAUCCCCGGUGAUCUGAUGGUGGUAAGUAUGUUUCUCGCAGCUAGGAAGCAGCCCUUCUCCUGUCCUCCUGCACGAUGCUGGGUGGAGCAUUGCCAUGGUAACGCGCGGCAAUGCUCCGCACAGCAUUGCACGGGAGGACAGGAGAGCUGCUUCCUAGAGCCCUCCCCCUGUCCUUCCAACACGGAAGCAGAGUAGGCGCCUGCCGUUUUGGGCAGGCAGGUGCCUACUCUGCAGACAGCCAGCGGCCCCCUCUCCCGGCGACUUAUGGCUGCGUGCCAACAGAGAGGGCCCAGCGUGCCACAGGUUUGCCAUCACUGAUCUAAAUCAUUAAUUUGUAAUUUUUGGUUCUAUGCCAUACUCACCCCAUCUACCACUGUCUACCACAUCAUCUGAAUCCAAUACUGCAAAUUUCUAACAGUAGAACCUUUAAUCCAAAAACAAAACCCUAUAAAUUAACUGCGCCCAAUCCCAAAUCCCUGGUAUUGAGAUGGCUAUCAAAGUGUAAACUCACUUGCUGGAUUACAUUUUUGGAUUUUGUUUUAUGCAUUUGGGCUGAUGUAUACUAUAGUCAUUGUGGCUGUCCAAGAGUAGUGGGAUUUUAGAGUGCAGGACUUUUUUCUGUGUGUUUUGUUUGCUUUUGUUAUACACAGUUGUUUUACAGUGUUGCCACUCACCCCAUGUGUGCCCUUUAAGGAUUUAAUUAAUUUAUAGAGAUUCAGAAAAAUACCCUUUUCUGACUCACAAAAAGAUGAAAAAUAUACCACAAGAGGACAUAGUCUUAAAUUAGAGGGACAAAGGUUUAAAAAUAAUAUCAGGAAGUAUUACUUUACUGAGAGGGUAGUGGAUGCAUGGAAUAGCCUUCCAGCUGAAGUGGUAGAGGUUAACACAGUAAAGGAGUUUAGGCAUGCGUGGGAUAGGCAUAGGGCUAUCCUAACUAUAAGAUAAGGCCAGGGAAAGUAUUUAGAAAAUUGGGCAGACUAGAUGGGCCGAAUGGUUCUUAUCUGCCGUCACAUUAUAUGUUUCUAUGUUAGAGUAGGAAUCACCUACUCAAGAGGUUUGCCUUGACUCAGCUGUUGAGCUAAAACUUUAAUGGCCAUUGUGUUGGUACAGUAGUAGUAUACAAUCCCGCUCUGAUUACCACUAACCUCGAUAAGCCUGUGUUCCUAAAUAUUACUUAUUAAAUCUGUCUUUGUUCUCGUGACUGUGGAAGUAACUCAGUAGUGCAUUACACUAUUUAAAUGCCAACUUCACUAUGAUCAAACCCAUGUGAGCAGGGACGGAAAGCGAGAGUAUUACACACAAUCACUUAUGACAUUUCGCGAUGGCCUUGUAUAGCCCCCCUCCUCGUCGUUUAAGCAGCUGCAAAUGACCUAACAGGAAAAAACACUUCUCUGCUUCAAUGUAUACAGCGUGGCAAACAAUAACGCUACAAAGGAACAAAAGGAAGUAAAUAAGACGAAAGCCGGCGGCUUUGCAGAGAUAGAUAGGGUCUGGACGCAGGUGAAAAAAAUAAUCCAUGCUUGCACAAUAUCCUGGGAUGCUGUUUACCGCUAGGAACAUUUACGAGACUCUCUCGUGCCAGGAGGGUUUUAGAGAUAUUCAAGGUUUUUUUCACUUCUUACUAUCCCCUGUGCAGGCUCAUUACAGGUGGAAUGUACAUCCAAGAAGGCCCUUGUGCCAAAAUACAGCGCAAGGGGAAUCCUAGACACAGACAGUGGACACAAUAUUGCUGUAUGAAUACCAGACAGCAUUCUUAUACAGCAUCCCCAGGCAUGGUUGAUGGAAAUGAUUUGUGCUUUAGAUGUAGCAUGGACAGGGGACUAAAUUCCUCACGGCUGCCAAACGGAAUCUCUGUGGAUGGCAAUUGUAAAAGCCAAGAAAAACAACCAGCUCUUUUUUUAAGGGUGUGUUGGUAGAAAUUCACAAUUAUGAUAAAUAAUUCUGAAGAAUCUACUUCUCGUUUUUUUUUACAUUUCAAUUUAGAACACUUUUUUCAUGUAAACUCUCUUUGAGACACUGUUACGUCUACGUGCUCAUCAGCUAAUUGUCACACACUUUGCCGGUUGGUGUGCUGGUCUUGUUAUUUGCAAUGCUUUCAUGAAAAUUAGGAGAUAUUUUUUUUUUGGGUUGUAGAUAGAAUUGUGACAUUUCUCCAUGGUUGGAUUUAUAUUAGAAAUAAGCAUUUAUAAUCACCAAUAUUACAGAGAUCCUUCAAAACGCUCCAAGGGGAAUAUUCUAAAUGUCAGUGGUGCCUUUUUUAAAUUCCUCAAAGGGAUACUCCAAGUGCCCUCUCCGCUAAAGAUUAUUCUAGUAUUUAUGGAGCUAAGAACCUAAAUCCGUUCUGGUUAAAGCCUUGCCAUUUUUGAAUUUUUUUCUUUGGCAUUUUGGAAAUGGGUUCCUAAAAUAAAAAUAAAAAAACAAAAAAAAUUAAAAGCAACUAAUAAAAAUAAACCCCACAGGAGCAAAAUGACGAAGACCCAUUUAUAUAUCCCUAAGGUCUGUAGCUCACAUAUAGUGUGUUUGGCUGGGCACAAAUUGAGCCAAUCGCAGUGCAGCACUGCAGUGUUUCCUUAGUCAACUCUCCAUAGACUUCAGUGCAUUUUAACAUGUGUUCUGUUCUGGUGAUUUGGUAUCUCGAUUCUUAAAGAACCAGUAAAGUUACCCUGUCAUUGUAACCCUUCAAUGUAAAACACUGCCAGUCUGUAGAAGCAGCAAUGUUUUAUUGAAAGGUUAAAUACACUUUUAGUGGCUGAUUUCCUGACAUCCACUAGAGGCGCUUUCUCCUCCUGGACCAAGUCAGCCUCCAGUCUGGAAUCAAGUACUGCAGAUAGUGGAAGAGUGUGGUGGAUAGUGGAAUAGUGUGGUGUUUGCUUGAGUGUACGUAUCUCCAAUUCAAUGCUUCUCUACGAGAAGCAUCAGAUUGGAUGAGAUUGCAAAAUAAAUCAAUAGGCACACUGCAAAGGAGUCUCAGCGCUGAAAACCGAUAUUUAACCUUUAUUUUUCAACAAAGGGAGAUAAACAGUGGUCACAAUAAUAGAAGGGAGCCUAAUUUUUAGAAAAAAAAACAAUUGUUGUUUUCGGGACUAUAGGUUCUCCCUUCAGGGCUCCUGCUAACAUAUCCACGGUCAAAUCAAUUACAGGUCAAAAAAUGUGUAAAUGCCAGUUUUAGCACCCGCAGCAUUUUUGCUGCAGUCAUGCUGUCCAUCCAACUGUACUCCAACUGUCACAGGACCAAAAUUACAAUCACUCUCAGCCAGUAUCUGCUGGAAAAAUAAGCAAAAGUCUAACCCCAACACUCCGCACUUACAAUGGUUCAAUUGUUUCUUUAAAUUAUUUUUUUUGCUUCAUUGUUCUGUAGUUAUUGCGAAUAUCAUGUGAUUAACUCUAUGCUCCCAAGAGGUGGGCUGCCCAACUUAUUGUUCAGUUCUCUGCCGCCCAAAAACAAAUCCUAACGAGGACAUUAAGAGCUGUUUUAGCAGUGACAAGGCAGUCCCGGCCCCCUGAUUACAUAAGCAGCGCGGUUACAAAUGAUGUUUGCUUCGGUUUAUCUCGUGACUUCUUUUAUCUCUCGUCACAGGCAACACGCUUUCCUCUAAAAACGGAUUCUUGGCUCAGGCUAAAUUUCAACAAGUAGGACAGGGAAAGGCAACAGGAUAAGAGGCCGCCGCUGGCAGGAAGUUUAAAACUGGAGUGUUUGGGUUUUAUUUAUUAAUAAGAACCUGUGUGCUAGCAGCUGUAAAUAAAGUGAAUAUAGGUAAAAAAAAAAAAGAAGGUAAGAAAGUAAGUAAGAAAUAAGGUACCUACACACACAAUGUGCUAUAAGUUUGGCUGGAGCUACUAUGGGAUAAAAUAAUGUAAUCAAUCACAUGGCUAUAUCAGGUUCUGGACCUGUAUUACAACUUAUGAAUAAUGUACGAGCAGUAGAAAAAGAAGGGAGAAAAAAACGCCCAAACUGUGAAAAUAAAUUUAACGUGAAGAAUAGUGAUGUCCCGAACGGUUCGCUGAACGGUUCGCCACGAACGGUUCCACACAGACUCAUCAUUGAGUAAACUGUGACCCUGUACCUCACAGUCAGCAGACACAUUCAAGCCAAUCAGCAGCAGACCCUCCCUCCCAGACCCUACCACCUCCUGGACAGCAUCCAUUUUACAUUCAUUGUGAAGCUGCAUUCUUAGUGAGCUGCCCAGGAGGUGGGAGGGUCUGGGAGGGGGGGUCUGCUGCUGAUUGGCUGGAAUGUGUCUGCUGACUGUGAGGUACAGGGUCAAAGUUUACUCAAUGAUGAGCCCGCGGCGAACCGUUCGUGACAAACCGUUUGCGAACCGUUCGGCGAACCGUUCGGGACAUCACUAGUGAAGAAUCUUUAUUGCUUCAUUUAAAAUAAAGCGGCAAUGAGACGCAAAACGCGUAACUGCAUUGUGCUGGUGCCUUAAAUGAAGCUGGUGCUUGAUUUUAAGUCUAUUUGUACAGUUUGGGCGUUUUUUCUCUCCCUGGUUUUUCGGCUGUUUCUACAUUGGAACUCACACAAACACAGCUCAUUAUAUAUUAGUGUCCUGAUUAAGACAUGCACCUUGUAACCCCUCCAGCCUCAGAGUGGCUGCUUCACCCUCAAUGACACAAUUGGCAUCCCACAAUUCCUAGCAUUUGUAGCUGAAAUUAUAAAUAAUGUCAGGGAAACUGGACAAUCGCGUUUACUCCGAACUAUGUUCUUCUUCACCAGUUUUGUUUUCAGGUUGGCUAAUUUAGCCUAAAAUUUUAAUUCACAUUUAAAAUCACUUUGAAUUCCCUAUAAUUCAAACUUUAGUGAAUUAUCUUUUUAUACACAAAAUACAAAAGGAAAUCCGCGCUAAUAUAACAAACAAUAUGUAGGUAGGCAGCAACCCAAUCAAAGGAGACCCCUCAAAUCCUUCAACAUAUGAGAAAAUACAAAGAAAUGGGGAAGGGCUGCGCCAGCAGGAAAGUAAAAUAAAAUAACGUUAAAAAAGUCCAAUAAGAGUCUCACUAGAGUAACAGUACUUGGUGGAAUGUAGAUGAGUAGACUUUAAAGUAGAAAUGGGGACGCCCUAUUGUCUCAGAGUAUUCACAUAUAUGAAAAACAAAGAGACAGGGGCAGCCAGUAGUGCAGUACGUCUAAAAUCCAACGAGUAAAUUAGUAGUAGAAGGUAAAUAACUCACAUUUAAAAGAGCUAUGGCCAGCUCUGGUGUGAAGGGUGUACAGUGAUAUAAUCCUCGCUGUUAGGAUAUGUGGAGGGAGUGCGUCUGGUCAUCAAAAGCUCCAAAGGGAAAUAAAAGAGGCGACAAUAGUGCUCUCAAAUGGGUAAGUGAGUGACUAAAGGUAACUAAAAUAAUACUCACAGAUAUAGAGCAGGAACACUGCUCUAUUUGUAACGCAUUGGUGGUAUGAUUCCCACCUGGCCUUUCUUUUAGUGCAGGAACAGUAGUAAAAAGCCAGGAAAGUAAAACUAUUAAAAGUGCAUAAAAAUACAAUAAAAAGAGAAUUGGCACAGUAAAGUAGCCAAAAACCUUUAAUUGAUCUAAAGUACACAAUAUAAAUAACCAUUACGCGUUUCACCAUUAUAGGUUUUCUCAAAUGUCAUAACAAUUAUAUGUUUAAUAAUUUAUAUCUUUGUCUCUAACAACAACAACUGUGAUUUAUAUAUAUAUCAAAUAGCCCUGUCUGCAGCAAUACCUAUGUUAUGUACCACUCUCUCUGUUACAAUAACAAUGAUUAAUAGUUAUGUUUUGCAAAGAGUAAUAGUCACAUACAAGAACUGCUAAAAAAAAUAAUUAAACUAGUAAAAAAUGCAGAAAAAACAACAACUUUGCCGUAUGGAGUGAUGACCUAAUGAUCAUAUAUAUCACUCCUAAGUUUAUACUUUCUCUAGUAAAUAUGAUUUUCCAAAAUAAACAGAGAGAAGCAGCUGUGCCCUGAACCCAAUUUUUUAUCAGCUACUAAAUGCCUUAUCUCCUCUCCAUCCUUCAGAAACGAUAGCCUUGGCACUGCGAUCGGCCCAUUGUUCCAGCCGCAGAUGUGUUCUGUUUGUAAACACAGAUAUCCCGCUUGUGGCAUUGUUCAUUCAUCCAGCUGUGUUUUCAAUCCUCCCGUUUGUUUGUUACCUAUGGUCUUAAUUCACAAUCCGCAGGAAAUCUCCAGGACUGGCUUUCCUCCACACUCUGCACAACUGCCUGGUACGGAAAGGGUUAAUUCUAGGGCCUCGUGUUGCAGAGAAUACCAGAGACACUAGACUAUAUAUAGUAAAUCAUCUUUUAUGGAGGUAAAUAGAUUACAAACAAGGUCUGCAAAUUAAAUCAAGCAAUAUUAGGAAAAACUCCGUUGCUCAAUGUAAAUAAGCAGGAAAAUGCUCAAAUGGUUUUUGAUUGUGAAACCAAACUGCCGAAUUUUAGCUAAAAUAGCCACACUGUGACUAUAGCGAAUCAGGAAAUUCUAGAAUCAGACACUUUGGCCUGAAUUCUGCCAUUCAGAGUUUAGUAAAUAACUCCCUUAAGAUGUCAACUUACAUUAUGUAUAUAUAUAUAUAUAUAUAUAUAUAUAUAUAUAUAUAUAUAUAUAUAUAUAUAAAACACUAUGCUUGCAAUAUAUAUAUGUGUAUAUAUAUGUAUUUGUGCUCGGAAUUUCUAAUACGUAAUGGAAUGUAGAAGGAGAUGCAAAGUUGGUUGAGGUGUGCCGAAACCAACGUACGAGUAGGCCUGUAAUAAAAAGAGGGCCCACCAAGGUUAAAUGUAUAUAUAGAUGGGUGCAGGUGGGUGGGGACAAAUAGCUUGAAUGGCAAAGGUGAGUAGGGGGGUAGGAGUUUAAAUAGGGACCAUAACUCCUCCCACAAAUUCAGGCCAAAUGACUGUUUAACUUGUGCUCGAAAUUUCUAAUACGUAAUGGAAUGUAGAAGGAGAUGCAAAGUUGGUUGAGGUGUGCGGAAACCAACGUACGAGUAGGCCUGUAAUAAAAAGAGGGCAAAAAGAGGAUUCAAAGUAAACACACUUUAUUGCAAGUUACAACGCAAGAUUUAUGAAGGCUUCUAAAAGCUAUUUACUUUCUCUUUCCUUAGGUCCUAUACAGCCCCUACCAACCCUACCCAGGCCAGUCACGUCCAGGCUUCAGGAAUCCACCAUCUUGAGAUUUCAUGGUUACCACUAACUGCCCCCUCCUGAGUCAAACAAGAUCAGGAAAGAGGCUGGGAUUUCACAUGGAACAUCUACCAGAGAGAGAAGGGCUGCUGUAGGCCUCCAGGACAAGAUACCGAUUUAAAGGCCAGAGACUUAUCACUC
RNAcentral lists this long non-coding RNA (17949 nucleotides) under Pelobates cultripes (western spadefoot toad). Lineage: Eukaryota; Metazoa; Chordata; Amphibia; Anura; Pelobatidae. The record is from RNAcentral.